This 87-nucleotide transfer RNA is filed under the name Actinomycetota bacterium. Its description in RNAcentral is "tRNA-Leu". It matches the Rfam family "tRNA". Rfam says of the family: Transfer RNA (tRNA) molecules are approximately 80 nucleotides in length. Their secondary structure includes four short double-helical elements and three loops (D, anti-codon, and T loops). Further hydrogen bonds mediate the characteristic L-shaped molecular structure. tRNAs have two regions of fundamental functional importance: the anti-codon, which is responsible for specific mRNA codon recognition, and the 3' end, to which the tRNAs corresponding amino acid is attached (by aminoacyl-tRNA synthetases). tRNAs cope with the degeneracy of the genetic code in two manners: having more than one tRNA (with a specific anti-codon) for a particular amino acid; and 'wobble' base-pairing, i.e. permitting non-standard base-pairing at the 3rd anti-codon position. Lineage: Bacteria; Bacillati; Actinomycetota. The record is from RNAcentral.
GGGCGAGUGGCGGAACAGGCAGACGCGCACGGUUCAGGUCCGUGUCCCCGAGAGGGGGUGGAGGUUCAAGUCCUCUCUCGCCCACCA